This 891-nucleotide long non-coding RNA is filed under the name Sorghum bicolor (sorghum). RNAcentral's name for it is "long non-coding RNA (SBIC_LNC015623)". The record is from RNAcentral. Lineage: Eukaryota; Viridiplantae; Streptophyta; Magnoliopsida; Poales; Poaceae.
GGGCAAUAUGGACUACUCAUAAAUACAACAAAUGCACCAUUUAUUCAAAACAUAAAUAGAAAUAAUUUAUUCAAAAUAAAUAAAUAAGUAAAAAGAAUAUAUUAUAUAUAUAUAUAUUAAUAAGUAAAAACUUACCUAGGGAUAACUUACCGAUUUACCUUCGACAAGGGCUCAUCUUUGUAGUCCCUUGAGCGGGACUCUUCUCCCAUUACUUCUUGCUUGAUGAUGGCACAUCCGUCUUGGGAGGAGUAGACGGUUGCACGUGCUUAGGCCUCCACUUUAGCAGUAUCACCUUUAGAGGUGUGGAAGUUUGUUCAACCUUCAGCUUUGGUUUCCACACCUGCUUCGGUUGUGAAGGCUUGGGGACUUCAUCCAUCUUUUCAUUCUUUUUAGGAGCUAUUUUCUUUUUUUGCUCCUUAUUAUUUUUCUUAGGAGCCGCCUUUUAUUUUGGCUCUGGCUUUUUCUUAGAUAUUUUUGUAUUUUUAAUAAGUUGAGGCUGGAUCUCAACCUGCUUGAUGCCUUGGGGGUUUGGCCCAUAGAGGAUGCGUAUCAUGUUGCACUCUUGUUGACGGCAUGGCCUGAACUCGAACUUCUCUUCUUAGCCAUUAAUAUUGAAGCGGAUUUCUCCAGCCCCAACAUCAAUCUGUGCUCCAGCCGUACUCAAGAAUGGUCUUCCCAGGAUUAGUAGUGUUUCUUUAGUGAGCUCCGUGUUGAGCACCACAAAAUCCACUAGAACAUAGUAUCCUUUGAUCUUGACAGGGAUGUCUUGAGCAAUCCCUACCAGGUACUGGACUGACGAGUCUGCCAACUGGAGUGUCAUGGUGGUUGGCUCCAAGUUGGUGAAGUUUAGCUUAUCAAAGACUGAUUUCGGCACGACGCUCACACUCGCCC